AACGAACGCUGGCGGCAUGCCUAACACAUGCAAGUCGAACGAACCCUUCGGGGUUAGUGGCGCACGGGUGCGUAACGCGUGGGAAUCUGCCCUUUGCUUCGGAAUAACUCAGGGAAACUUGUGCUAAUACCGGAUGAUGUCUUCGGACCAAAGAUUUAUCGGCAAGGGAUGAGCCCGCGUAGGAUUAGGUAGUUGGUGGGGUAAAGGCCUACCAAGCCGACGAUCCUUAGCUGGUCUGAGAGGAUGAUCAGCCACACUGGCACUGAGACACGGCCCAGACUCCUACGGGAGGCGGCAGUGGGGAAUAUUGGACAAUGGGCGCAAGCCUGAUCCAGCAAUGCCGCGUGAGUGAUGAAGGCCCUCGGGUCGUAAAGCUCUUUUACCAGGGAUGAUAAUGACAGUACCUGGAGAAUAAGCUCCGGCUAACUCCGUG
Molecule: ribosomal RNA, 433 nt
Filed under: uncultured bacterium
Lineage: Bacteria
Description: partial 16S ribosomal RNA
Rfam family: Bacterial small subunit ribosomal RNA
Source: RNAcentral